GGGGUCAUAGCUCAGUUGGUAGAGCACCUGCUUUGCAAGCAGGGGGUCGUCAGUUCGAGUCUGAUUGGCUCCACCA
This 76-nucleotide transfer RNA is filed under the name bacterium. Its description in RNAcentral is "tRNA-Ala". It matches the Rfam family "tRNA". Rfam says of the family: Transfer RNA (tRNA) molecules are approximately 80 nucleotides in length. Their secondary structure includes four short double-helical elements and three loops (D, anti-codon, and T loops). Further hydrogen bonds mediate the characteristic L-shaped molecular structure. tRNAs have two regions of fundamental functional importance: the anti-codon, which is responsible for specific mRNA codon recognition, and the 3' end, to which the tRNAs corresponding amino acid is attached (by aminoacyl-tRNA synthetases). tRNAs cope with the degeneracy of the genetic code in two manners: having more than one tRNA (with a specific anti-codon) for a particular amino acid; and 'wobble' base-pairing, i.e. permitting non-standard base-pairing at the 3rd anti-codon position. The record is from RNAcentral. RNAcentral also lists the same sequence under 7 other names.